CUGCUGUGACAAUGGGAAAACCAACAAAAGUCUACACCACAAAAGGGACAGGAAAACAAGAUACACAUGCUAUCAGAGUAAGUAAUGCUUGUGUAUGGAACAAGGCAGUUUUCAGGUGUGAAGACUGCCUUGGGUGUGACAAUUGAAGCAAAGAAUAUGUUCCCUUUCUUGACUAAUUCCCUCCACCAGCUACUAGACCAGAUUAAUGCCCUUCAUCUCACAAAGAGUUUAUGCUUGGAUUCUUCAAAUUGCUUUCUUACCACUCUCAGCAAACAAGGUUUGACCUCUACCAUUUCAUCAAACCAGUCUUGUUAAAGUCCCUGAUAAUCAAUACUGUAAAUGCAAUUACAUUCUUUCAA
This 359-nucleotide long non-coding RNA is filed under the name Fukomys damarensis (Damara mole-rat). Its description in RNAcentral is "lncRNA (ENSFDAG00000021757.1)". Lineage: Eukaryota; Metazoa; Chordata; Mammalia; Rodentia; Bathyergidae. The record is from RNAcentral.